AUACGGAGGACGCGAGCGUUAUCCGGAUUCAUUGGGUUUAAAGGGUGCGCAGGCGGCCGUGCAAGUCAGCGGUGAAAGCCCGGGGCUCAACCCCGGAAGUGCCGUUGAUACUGCAUGGCUGGAAUGCGGUCGAGGCGGGCGGAACGUGGCGGGUAGCGGGGAAAUGCGUAGAUAUGGCACAGAACGCCGAUAGCGGAGGCAGCUCGCCAGGCCUGCAUGGACGCUCGGGCACGAAAGCGUGGGGAUCGAACAGGAUUAGAUACCCUGGUAGUCCACGCCGUAAACGAUGGGCGCUCGUCGUCGGCGGCAGACAGUCGGCGGCCAAGCGAAAGCGAUAAGCGCCCCACCUGGGGAGUACGGUCGCAAGGCUGAAACUCAAAUGAAUUGGCGGGG
This 393-nucleotide ribosomal RNA is filed under the name uncultured bacterium. RNAcentral's name for it is "partial 16S ribosomal RNA". It matches the Rfam family "Bacterial small subunit ribosomal RNA", at positions 523 to 918 of the family's 1533-position model. The record is from RNAcentral.